CAGUAGCCGCGGUAAAACGGAGGGGGCUAGCGUUGUUCGGAAUUACUGGGCGUAAAGCGUACGUAGGCGGUUUUGUAAGUUAGAGGUGAAAGCCCGGAGCUCAACUCCGGAAUUGCCUUUAAGACUGCAUCACUUGAACGUCGGAGAGGUGAGUGGAAUUCCGAGUGUAGAGGUGAAAUUCGUAGAUAUUCGGAAGAACACAAGUGGCGAAGGCGGCUCACUGGACGACUGUUGACGCUGAGGUACGAAAGCGUGGGGAGCAAACAGGAUUAGAUACCCCAGUAGUCCCUGUCUCUUAUAC
This 301-nucleotide ribosomal RNA is filed under the name uncultured bacterium. Its description in RNAcentral is "partial 16S ribosomal RNA". It matches the Rfam family "Bacterial small subunit ribosomal RNA", at positions 509 to 807 of the family's 1533-position model. The record is from RNAcentral.